AAAAAAAAAAAGGUGAGAAGACGUGGCGUAAUCAGAGAGAAUAGGUAGGGCGGUUCGUCUCUUUUUUUAUUAUUAGAUGAUUGAUGAUGAAAACAGAAGCGUGCUGAGUGCUAAACUUAAGCCUGUUCCUCUGCAUCCUCCUAUAAUAAUUAUAUAUUAUAGCAACAUUUUAUAGAUGAGGAAAUAAGGCCAAAGUUUAGUGUGCGAGUUUUUGGACCCUUUUUUUGGACGGAUCCAUUCCCCGUUUUCCCAAGGCCCACAGUUUUUUGCAUUAGUUGUCAACUCGCGUCUAGAUCGCGGGGCGGCACCGGGUUUACACGCUUUUUCAGUUCGUUGGUUCGUUAUUGCUUGCAGCUUUAUAAAGUGCACAAGUGGAUGUGAGGUUGACCUUUCUUUUACCCUCUCGAAGGAUUAGAAUAUCUGGAUAUAUGGUCGAUAUAUCCUUCCAUGAUACCAUAUAAAAUUCGGGAAGAUAUAUCCGUUAACUAAUAUUUUUAGAUAUUUUAUCAAUUUUUUUAUGUUUCAAUCAAUUUUUUUUUAUAUUUUAUCGAUAUUUCACUGACUUUUUUAUUUUUUUAUUAUUAAAUAAAUAAAUUAUAAUUAUUUUAUUUUUAUAUUUGAUUUAAUUUAUUACUAAAAAUAUAAAAACAUAAUUUUUUUAAUAGGUCUUUUUUAUAUAAUCUUUAUAUUUAUUAAAUAUAAUAAAAAAAUAUUUAAAAAAUUAUACAUAUAUUAUUAUUUAUUUGAUAUCAUUGAAUAUAUUUAAAUUAAAAUGGACCAUAAUUUUAAUAUUAAACAUAUUUUAAAAUUAGACAUAUUAUCAUAAUAAUAUUGUAAAAUUUAUAUUUUUUAUCCACAUAGAGAAUAUUAUUAUCAAAUGUGACAAACUAUAUAUAUAUAUAUAUAUAUAUAUAUAUAUAUAUAUAUAUAUAAAAUAACUUUAAAAUAUAUAUUUUUACUUCUUAUAUAUUUUUUAAAUAUUUUUAGAAUUUUAGUUAAUUUUUAGAUAUUUUAUAUCAAAAUAUUCAUCGAUAUGUUUUUGAUAUAUCCGAUAUAUCCAUAAGAUGUAUCGGAUAUAUCCAUAAAAUCAAACCGAUAUAUAUGUGAUUACCGAUAUUUUUAUCCUUAUUCUGUAUGACUCAAGUGUCCCUUACAUAUGGAAAUUGACAAAUUAAAACCAAUAACACAUGCAACUUAUGGGCAAUUGAAACUAGAAAAAGAUAACGUAUGCAUCUUCCGUCAUGUCAUGGCUUAUCAAAUCAAAUGAAUUAUUCAUAAGAUUAAUCUUUGAUUUUGUGAGGAUGAAUAAGAUUAUGCCAAAGGGGCCCGAGGGGCAAAUCUGGAAAAAAAAAGAGGCAAACAAUGGAAUAGAAGCUUGGGUCAUUAAACUUUACGAGGGUUGUGAACUGUAGUCAGCUGUGAGAGCCCACUCGCAACGGAAUUGGUAACCUGAACGGGCUGAAAGGGCCCAACUAGGGACCCUGGGGCUGGGACUAAAUUCCUGUUCAAUCCCUUUCAAUCAGUUAAAAGUUAAAACUUAAAGCACACAUCUCUAGCUCAGUGUCGUCCCCCAGCACGUUUUGCAUACGCGGCAUAACUUCAAAAUCUCUGUUACUGGAUUUUUCAAAAUCAAUUUCCACCAUUAAAAUUAAGUCUUAACCAUGCUGCCCACCUCAGAAUGAAGGUUUGGUACCAUGAAGAAAAGCAUAUAAAUUCAGCCUUUAGAAAUGUCAGAUAGAUAGAUAUAAGAGUUACAUAUGACUUGCCUUUGAAAACAAUUUGCAAAAAACAAUUUCUAAAAAUAAUUUUUGUUUGAGAAUGCAACAUGUUCUUAACAUGUUUUCUAUGUUUGAAAAGUAAUUGACUUUUAUAUGUAAUAUUUUAUUUUUGAUUAUAUUUCAUACUUAUAUAAUUAUUUUUUAAAAGGAACUUUUAGAAAACAAUUAAAACAUUUUCUUUGAAAAUACAUGUUUUCUGGUUGUCUUCAGUGUCUUCCUGUUUUCAAAAACAAUUACCAAACAGGCUACAUAUAUUUUGGAGGUCGUUCAGAUUAUACUUCUGGAAUCAUGCACCAACUCUGGCUAAACUCCACUUACCUACCUCAUCCACAUGUUUUGUUGCCCUGAAUGAAAUGUUAAAAGAAUUUCUAGCUCUUUUUUUUUUUAACUCACUAAGAGGAAAAGUUAAAGCCAUCAAAAUAACAAGUUUGAACACAGAAUAAAGAGCUCAAGUUCUAAUUAAAAGGUAACUUAAAUAUUUGACACACAAGAAAUCCCAUUAAUCAAACAGCAUUGCUGCAGCAGAGUUUAAUAAAGGAAGAUGACAAAGCAAGAGGAGAAGCCAUGGAGACGUUAUAGAAGGACAUGCGUUUUUGGGGCAUUCUCCAUACGUUUUUAACUUCCAACAGGAUCAACACAUCAUUACAAUACUAUAUAUUGCAUAUCCCACAUGCAAUAUGGUUCAAGAUAUCUAUAUGAUCUUAAAAACUAGAAGUAGGUACCUUCAGGAGGCUGGACCAACUUCCGGUUUUGUGGCGCAGCCAUCUCCUUCUUCAGCUGUGUCAGUAUAUCCUCCAUGGUGUACUCCCGCUGCCAAUUUGCCAGAAUUCCAAACUUCUUAGGUUCCACCUGUAACAAAUGGAUCCCAUCAGACCUUGUCACCCAAUUCAAUUAUCCAUCCAUAAAUCAGAUCUUGUUCCUGAAUUUAACUAUUUAUUCACAAAUCGUCCAAACAGGCAAAUCUUAUAAUAAUAUAUUUAUUGAAAUGUUAAGUCCAAUAAUUAUAAUCUGCAGAAAAAACCAAAUGGAAGAACAGCAAGCGAAAGGCCUAAGGGCACUAUAUUUAACACUGAAUGCAUAGGGAAUGCUAAAAGAGCAAAAAAUAGAAACGCACCAGGCCUAAUAGUGAUAGCAAUAAUAUUACUAGUACCAAGAAUACUCCAAAAAAGAGAGAGAGAGAGAGCAUGAGGCGAUGGUGGUGGAGGUAGUGACAGUCAGCGUAGCACAUACAUAGAAAGUGGUAAAAGGCAAAGAAAUACAAGGACACCAUAAACCAAAAACCAGACGCCAAACACCAGCGCAUCAGUAACAAAGCAGUUGUAGUGGUGUUAGUUGUGGUUAAAAGGAAUGAAUAAAAGAACACCAACCCCAAGCAUCAAACAUACCAACUCAUCAGCAGUGGUGGUAGUGAUGGUUGGCAAAGCAAAAUACAUAGGAAUUGGUAAAAGAGAGAAACUACAAGGACACCAUAAACCAAAUCCCAAACACCAACACACCAAUACCAAUGGUGGUAGCAGUAGCAUUAGCUGUGGUGGUAAAAGGCAAAAAAUACAAGAGCACCAACCUAACCCUGAGCACCGAACAUACCAACUCAUCAAUAAUAAUAGUAGAAUAGUCACUAAAAUGAUGAUCAAACAAUUCCAGGAUAGUCCUAUAACCAACGAUUACAGAACUUUAGUCCCAUUCCCACAGGACAUAAGACAAAUAGAACAUGUACAGUGAAUCAAACCAGACUAUACCCCCACCAUUUUUAACAAUUGGAAGUUGCAAUUGCAUAGCUCAAUACUGAGAAUCUGGAGAUCAUCAACUACAAUGAGCAUAAACACCACCAGUGCAACAACUGCAUAACAAGACCAAUUAUAAUGUAAAGGGAUCAAAAUUUUACCACUCCAGUUUCAUGGUUAACACAAGUCAUGUUGAUCCGUGAAUGAAAACGGACACUUGGUGGCUUCUCUGGAUAAUCUUUGUCACAGAACAGCUUCAACUGAUAUAUGCGACCUUCAUGUACAGUCUGAAAAAAAAUAAAGGAGAAGAUUGUAAUGUGCUUGUAAGCUAUCCAUAUCAGCAAGAAGUCAAAAUCCAAAACCUCAACAAUAGUACAUUUCAUUCUACAACAGAGUUUUUAACUCACUAAAUCUCAAGUAAAACUCAUUGACACACUGUUGUUUUGGGAAAUAAUUACUUCACACUUUGGAUGCUUCUCCUUUGUAUUUGAGAGGAUUGAACCAAAUACGCACACCCCAACCAAAAUUGAAUUAAAUUUAAAUAAUGAGGAAAUGCCUGGAACCAAGCUUAGGAAGAAACCCCACAUCAUGCAAAGUAUUCUAGUAUAUACUCACCACAAUUGGCCAUAGGUCGACCAGUCAAAGCAUUUUCUGAAUAACAUGCUGAACUUAAAUGGACGACAUGCCACCAGGCUAGAAGUACCAUCUACCUGAUUGGUUGAUGCCUCCUCAAAUGGUCUCAACUUCAAGACCACCUGAGGCAUAUCCUGUAAAUUGAAAACCUAUUUCACAAUUUAAGUAGGCUAAAUUUCUCUUCUUCUUUUUGGGUCAAGACCAAGCCAUAACAACAUGUAGUAUAUCAACAUAUAUAAGAGUGAUGCUGAUAUUUGUCACGUAACAAGAUCAAAGAAUAUAUAAAGCAUGUUGUUCUUUAAAAGGGCACUUACAUUAUGAGGACCGAUGAUGGUGCCAGUCCAAGAGCGCAUAUAAAUGUCAUCUCCAUCAUCCAUUCCAUAGCUGACAGUACCAUCUCCAAUACCCUUUUCUCCACGUUCAAGUUCCUCAAGCAAUCUGAAGUUUCGAGGGACUGCAUGGAAAUGCAGAGACUUAAAAGUGCGCAAAUCUUGAAAAUUAAUAAAAUUGUCUGAAUAAGGCGCCUUAAAUAUCAAAGGCUAAGCUUCAGACCAGAAAGUUCAAUUGGCAGUCACCCUCAUUUAGGAACAGGAGAUCCCAAGUUUGAGUUCUAGGGUCACACGAUACAAGGUUCUUGGCAGUGGGGUUGUGUAUAGUGGUUUCACUGGUCCAGUGAAGCUAGGCCUGUGGAUUUCCAAUUUAAGGUUCUGGGAGGAGGGUUCAUGUAUCACAGGUCACAUGAAGAUGCACCUGUGGGCUUCCAAGGAGGGGUCAUGUCUCAAUGGUUCCCCCAGUCUUUCUUUCCCAGGUCACAUGAAGCUGGGCCUGUGGGUUUCCACAUCAUAGAAAAAGUUCCAAGGUAGCUGUUCUUACCUUCUUUCUUUUGAUUUCUAUUUUAUUUUAUUUUAUUUUAUUUUUUUGGAGAUUCACUGAUUCACGAUUCAUUAAUUACCCUCUUGUUGACAUUCUAGACACCAAAUCCCAAUUAAAGACAUGCCAAAUGGAAGCAUUAAUAGAAAAAUAAUGCUAAAAACACAUUGAAAUAGACAUGAAGUAUCAUGGUUGAAGCUUCCAUAGAAACAAGUUCAACUUCAUUCUCCAUUAAACAUUCUCAUUAAAAGAAAACAGAUAAAAAUGACUAGUCAGUUAAACAUACUGUUCAGGAAGAGAUUUCUGACAUCACAUUUGUAUCUUCUAAAAAUCAAAUCAACCAAUGUGAAACUAUGAACAUGUAUCAGCUAAGCAUACUGUUUUUCCCCAUUUUAUGGCUACUGUUCAAAAAAAUAAAAAGGCAAUUCUAUGUGUGGUAGAUGCCCAGAAACACAACCCAUGAAGUAUGAAGGGAACAGAAACACAGUCCAAGUUCUAGCACAAGUCAAUAACUGUUGAGCAGAAAUCGCCACGUGUAACACAUUUUAAAAGCUUUUGUUAUCUUUUGUUCCUGAAAAUCAGGAGUAUUUGUAACCAUCACACUAGUAAAAAUAUAAUAAAGGGCCGAAAGGAUAGAUCACAUUUGAACUCCUACACUACGUAACAUCUAAAAUUACAGGCAGUGUAGCGUCAAUAGCAUCUAAGAAGAUUUCAAGGGGAAUAAUUGCAGUGUUCACAAAUUUUGCAACUAAUAUGAAACAUUUUAUUAUGGCAAUUAAAAAGGCAUGUGUAGCGCAUGAUUUUGCUUCAUUUCCCACAACAAUAAACUUCUAGAACUGCAAGAAUCCUAUUGAGCAUCCAUGCAUUUCCCUUUUUCUUGGUACAGGAUAAUAACUUCAUGAAUAAACAUUAUCUAAAGAUAUAUGAUUUUAACAUGGAGAUAUCACGUAACUUUCCUCAUCCCAAAAAUAAAAUCUAAAUCACAAAACCAAGAGGCCAAAUGGAGUUUGACCUGAGAAAUUGAAUCUGUUUAAUCUUGAAUGUAUCAUACACAGCCUUGGCCUCCCAAGCACAACAAAAUUAAACUCUAAGGGUCAUAGGCAUCAAUGAAAGAUAUACUGAUAGGGGCCCAAAAAAGGGCCAAAUAGCAUAUGUAGAGGACCACAGUAAACCCAAGUGGUUCACAUUAUUACACUCCAACUUGCAUGCCAGCCUUAUUACUACUGAGUUAUCCCCUGUAUAAAAAAUAAAAUUAAAAAGAAAAUGUACCAUAGGCAGAUAUAUCGGUGAAACCACGCAGACAAUGUCAUAUGCAUUCCAGGGAUAUUACAUUGCCAGUGAUUAAGGUUGCUUGAAAAGUAGGAAAGCUAUUAAUCACAUUUUCUACUCUUGAAAAACAGCAACUAAAAUGAACUUACUCAUUCUUGAAGGUCUUCAACAUAUCAGGGUGUAGUCCUUGACAGAGGACCACAUCCUUCCCAAAAUAGAACCGCAAGCCACAACUGCAAGAGGUGACUACUCUCAGCAAAACCAACUAUCCACCUCAAACUUCAUUACCACUACCAUUCUACACAGCCUUCCAUUUGUGAUCCAAAUUUACUAAUCCAUUUUGCCUAAAGAACAACACCCCCACCCCCCCCCCNNNNNNNNNNNNNNNNNNNNNNNNNNNNNNNNNNNNNNNNNNNNNNNNNNNNNNNNNNNNNNNNNNNNNNNNNNNNNNNNNNNNNNNNNNNNNNNNNNNNUACCGGGGGGUGUCCCUGAAAAGGGGCCCCCUCCCUCCCAAAAAUAAACCCCCACCCCACACCGCCAGGGGGUGCCUCCUCCCACAAAACCCACUUUCCCCCCCAAACUUUCUUCCCCAUUCCCUUUUAACCCACCCUCCCUUUGGGGUCCAAAUUUUAUAAUCCCUUUUCCCCAAAAAACCACCCCCCCCCCCCCCCCCCCCAAAAAAAAAAAAAAAAAAGUGCUACUCAUGGAGGAUAUAAGCUGAAUUUCCAAACUAACCCCCCCUCAUAAAAGCUCAUGAACAUUUUUUCCCCAUUUUAUUGAAUAGUAGAUGAACUCCUGCCUUCACCAACUAAUGGAAAGUGCUUUUAAACAGUUUCAGUCUGGUUGAGUAACCAAUACUAGCAACAUAGUGAGUGAAAGAAUUGGAUAGGCGUCAACCUUUCAGUAUAGAGACCAAAUUUUGAGAGAGAAUUGCUAAGUAUAUGAGUAACCUAAUUUGUAAGAAGUACACGGCAUGACUAGUAGCAUAUUGAAACAUGCUUAGACGUGAAAAAGCACUGGUAAGCCUAUCAGUGGCACCAUUGUGAGAUGCACCACGUGUACAAGAAUCUUCUCAUGCCUCCGAAAACUUCUUAAGGUUAUUCCCCACAUUUCAUUGACAUGAGCAGAAAUAAGUGAUGAUUCAAAAAACAAGCUUGUGUUAUUGAAAGAUUGCCAUCCACGCAAUUCAAUUCAAUUAAAAUGCAUCCCCGCAAAUUUUGUUUCAAAGAUUCCCACUUUCACAACACUGUCCUGAUUGUCAGCAAGCUUGAUACAAUCAGAAAGUGCAGAUAACAAUUAGUAUUU
This 7579-nucleotide long non-coding RNA is filed under the name Vitis vinifera (wine grape). Its description in RNAcentral is "long non-coding RNA (VVIN_LNC002602)". Lineage: Eukaryota; Viridiplantae; Streptophyta; Magnoliopsida; Vitales; Vitaceae. The record is from RNAcentral.